AAAGAAAAGAAAAGAAAAAAACGUUACCUGAUAGAAGAAAAAUGAAUUUGAAGAAGUCAACUGGUGCUCUUCGUCUAUUGUUUUUUUGGGUAAACUGCGCAGUAGCCGUUGACCCACUUUUAAUUUUAGAUUUUGACACUGUGGGCUGGCCUUUCAUUUCUUAGCCAUUCAGCCAAUAAUUGACCAAAAUGCUCUUGACGAAACUGAACCCGGUUUGUACGUACGGACCGCGUCCUUGGAAUCCAAGAGAACCGGGUUUGUACGUACACUGUUCAUCGACGAGAAAUGCAUUAAAUGUUUUCUGGGUUUCGGCGAAUUUGACACUUGAAAUUGGAAUUAAAAAUUUUUAAAAUUGGUUGGGCUCAGAAGUUUUUAAUGCUAAAAAGUUUUGACAAGACUAAAACUCAUGAUUACCUAUUAUAAUAGA
RNAcentral lists this small RNA (427 nucleotides) under Arabidopsis thaliana (thale cress). Its description in RNAcentral is "ATSL065280". Lineage: Eukaryota; Viridiplantae; Streptophyta; Magnoliopsida; Brassicales; Brassicaceae. The record is from RNAcentral.